AUACGAAAGGUGCAAGCGUUGUUCGGAUUUACUGGGCGUAAAGAGAGUGUAGGUUGUUUAUUAAGUCGGAUGUGAAAUCCCGGGGCUCAACCUCGGAACUGCAUUCGAUACUGGUAGACUAGAGUUCAGGAGGGGUAAGCGGAAUUCCGUGUGUAGCAGUGAAAUGCGUAGAUAUACGGAGGAACACCUGAGGCGAAGGCGGCUUACUGGACCGAUACUGACACUGAGACUCGAAAGCGUGGGUAGCAAACAGGAUUAGAUACCCCGGUAGUCC
Molecule: ribosomal RNA, 274 nt
Filed under: uncultured bacterium
Lineage: Bacteria
Description: partial 16S ribosomal RNA
Rfam family: Bacterial small subunit ribosomal RNA
Source: RNAcentral